UACGUAGGGUGCAAGCGUUGUCCGGAAUUAUUGGGCGUAAAGAGCUCGUAGGCGGUUUGUCGCGUCGAAUGUGAAAACCCGGGGCUCAACCCCGGGCCUGCAUUCGAUACGGGCAGACUAGAGUUCGGUAGGGGAGUCUGGAAUUCCUGGUGUAGCGGUGAAAUGCGCAGAUAUCAGGAGGAACACCGGUGGCGAAGGCGGGUCUCUGGGCCGAUACUGACGCUGAGGAGCGAAAGCGUGGGGAGCGAACAGG
Molecule: ribosomal RNA, 253 nt
Filed under: uncultured bacterium
Lineage: Bacteria
Description: partial 16S ribosomal RNA
Rfam family: Bacterial small subunit ribosomal RNA
Source: RNAcentral